GAAAUACCACCCUUGUAUGUUUGAUGUUCUAACUUAGACCCGUUAUCCGGGUUGAGGACAGUGCCUGGUGGGUAGUUUGACUGGGGCGGUCUCCUCCCAAAGAGUAACGGAGGAGCACGAAGGUGGGCUAAUCACGGUUGGACAUCGUGAGGUUAGUGCAAUGGCAUAAGCCCGCUUAACUGCGAGAAUGACGGUUCGAGCAGGUGCGAAAGCAGGUCAUAGUGAUCCGGUGGUUCUGUAUGGAAGGGCCAUCGCUCAACGGAUAAAAGGUACUCCGGGGAUAACAGGCUGAUACCGCCCAAGAGUUCAUAUCGACGGCGGUGUUUGGCACCUCGAUGUCGGCUCAUCACAUCCUGGGGCUGAAGUCGGUCCCAAGGGUAUGGCUGUUCGCCAUUUAAAGUGGUACGCGAGCUGGGUUUAGAACGUCGUGAGACAGUUCGGUCCCUAUCUGCCGUGGGCGUUGGAAGAUUGAAGGGGGCUGCUCCUAGUACGAGAGGACCGGAGUGGACGAACCUCUGGUGUUCGGGUUGUGUCGCCAGACGCAUUGCCCGGUAGCUAAGUUCGGAAUUGAUAAGCGCUGAAAGCAUCUAAGCGCGAAGCGAGCCCUGAGAUGAGUCUUCCCUGAUACUUUAAGUAUCCUAAAGGGUUGUUCGAGACUAGAACGUUGAUAGGCAGGGUGUGUAAGCGUUGUGAGGCGUUGAGCUAACCUGUACUAAUUGCCCGUGAGGCUUAACCAUACAACACCCA
Molecule: ribosomal RNA, 747 nt
Filed under: Vibrio cholerae
Lineage: Bacteria; Pseudomonadati; Pseudomonadota; Gammaproteobacteria; Vibrionales; Vibrionaceae
Description: partial 23S ribosomal RNA
Rfam family: Bacterial large subunit ribosomal RNA
Source: RNAcentral